GCCAAAGCCAUGAAUGAAAGGAGGGUGUGACUAAGUCUGAAAGGAUCACAGUGCCAACCAUUGUGAGGUAGGGGUGAAUCAACAGAAGCAGGCUACCGAAUUUCCAGGAGCAGUCACCAUGCACUUGUUGAGCAAAAGACAAGGAGUGUCCUCAAAAGCAAAUUCCAACACAGACAGUCUCUAGCAUAUGAGAAGCAAAGCUAUCUCCUCCUUAACCUCAGGCCUGGGUUUUGAUAUCAACGGCUCAACGAAGCUCUUCUGACCAUGCUAUCUCAGGCCAUUUAGUGCAAUUGUGCACCUCCAUUCCAAACCUGCAUGUUAUAAUAGGACACCUAAUGUGGGAGACCAAGUUUGAGAGAUGCAAAUGCUGGAUCAGGGUAUUCAUUUUUACAUUUAUAGAGGACCUGCCAUGUGUUUGGAAAUGGGCCAGGCUGGCAAAACAAAGACAAAUAAGGCACCGUGCUUGUCCCUGAAAGGUUAGCAGAGGAAUUGCAACGCAAAUGAUAUUACAGAGUUGUUUUGUUUUUUAAUUGUGGGAAAACAGAAGACAAAGCAACUGAACAGGAAAGAAGGAAGGUUAGGAUCACUUCUGGGAAAGCUUCCCUGGUGAUGAAGUCUCACUGGAAGAAGAUAUUCAUGCAAAUGUCAGGUACUAAGAUUUAUAAAACAGCCAGCAGCGGGGGAAAGACCCUCUCAUAUAUCCACUUCUAAAACCAUUUAAGAUAUAUCCUAGUGACACAAAU
RNAcentral lists this long non-coding RNA (743 nucleotides) under Equus caballus (horse). RNAcentral's name for it is "lncRNA (ENSECAG00000059002.1)". Lineage: Eukaryota; Metazoa; Chordata; Mammalia; Perissodactyla; Equidae. The record is from RNAcentral.